AGUCGCGUAGCUCAGUGGGAGAGCACUGCCUUGACAUGGCAGGGGUCACAAGUUCAAUCCUUGUCGCGACUACCA
RNAcentral lists this transfer RNA (75 nucleotides) under Bdellovibrionales bacterium GWA2_49_15. RNAcentral's name for it is "tRNA-Val". It matches the Rfam family "tRNA". From Rfam's summary of the family: Transfer RNA (tRNA) molecules are approximately 80 nucleotides in length. Their secondary structure includes four short double-helical elements and three loops (D, anti-codon, and T loops). Further hydrogen bonds mediate the characteristic L-shaped molecular structure. tRNAs have two regions of fundamental functional importance: the anti-codon, which is responsible for specific mRNA codon recognition, and the 3' end, to which the tRNAs corresponding amino acid is attached (by aminoacyl-tRNA synthetases). tRNAs cope with the degeneracy of the genetic code in two manners: having more than one tRNA (with a specific anti-codon) for a particular amino acid; and 'wobble' base-pairing, i.e. permitting non-standard base-pairing at the 3rd anti-codon position. The record is from RNAcentral. RNAcentral also lists the same sequence under 1 other name. Lineage: Bacteria; Pseudomonadati; Bdellovibrionota; Bdellovibrionia; Bdellovibrionales.